Molecule: long non-coding RNA, 381 nt
Organism: Centropristis striata (black sea bass)
Lineage: Eukaryota; Metazoa; Chordata; Actinopteri; Perciformes; Serranidae
Exons: 3
Source: RefSeq, a predicted model, not a curated record
UUUCUAUUGAAAUUCAAGCAGUUCAAGUCAAAUGAACAGCUUGAAAGGGUACAAAGGUAAGUGGUGAACUGCCAGAGGUAAAUAAAAAAAGGUAAGCUUAACCAAAACUGGAAAAUAAUGUACAUUUCAGAAUUAUACAAGAAACAAGAAAUGGGUUAACAACUUAACUCUAUGGAGUCUUGGGCUAUUUUGUCCAUUUUUGAAUUCUUUUCAUGUCUUUGUAAGUCAUUUUGUGUCUUUUUUUGGUCAUUUUGUGUCUUUUUUAGUCAUUUUGUGUCUUUUUUUUGUCAUUUUGUGUCUUUUUUGUCAUUUUGUGUCUUAUUUUAGUCCUUUAGUCCAACAUAAAAUGUGAUUUUGAAUCUUUUUUUUACUUUCAAAACA